GACGAACGCUGGCGGCGUGCUUAACACAUGCAAGUCGAACGAAGUGGCGAACGGGAGAGUAACGCGUAAUCCACCUGCCCUUCGGAGGGGGACAACAGCUGGCAACGACUGCUAAUACCGCAUACUGAAGGAGGGGGUUGAGUCUGAUUAGCAGGUUGGCGGGGUAACGGCCCACAAAGGCGAUGAUCAGUAGCCGGUCUGAGAGGAUGAACAGCCACACGGGGACUGAGACACGGCCCAGACUCCUACGGGAGGCAGCAGUGGGGAAUGUUGGACAAGGGGCGCAAGCCUGAUCCAGCCAUGCCGCGUGUCUGAAGAAGGCCUUCGGGUUGUAAAGGACUUUUGUCAGGGAAGCGUUACCUGAAGAAUAAGCACCGGCUAACUACGUGCCAGCAGCCGCGGUAAUAC
Molecule: ribosomal RNA, 408 nt
Filed under: uncultured bacterium
Lineage: Bacteria
Description: partial 16S ribosomal RNA
Rfam family: Bacterial small subunit ribosomal RNA
Source: RNAcentral